GGCAACAGCAGCAAGUUGAACUUCGAUAUGUCACAUGCAUGUUCCCGGGCAAAAUAACUGAUGCGAAAGGGUGCUUCAUACUUCCAUCAUAAAGAAAGAACUAUAUUUCGUUUCGCAAAGGGAAACUUGCAAAGGGUGUAAAGCGGUGGUAGAUUUACAUCGUAUUUUUCAUACGGGCCUGUUCACCGGAGUAUCUUUACUUUACGAAAUCUCGAUUUCAUCAAAAUCGUCAUGUGCAGCGAAUUUGUAUAUCAGAGAUCUGAGGGAAGAUCUACGGACUUCAAGGAAUGUAUACAGGAUUCUUUGAAAGACUCAUUUGAUCAACGUGGGAUAGUUGUAGCAAGGCUUCACCAACUUGCAGAAGAUCUUGAUGAAGCGCAACAAAAGCUCUAUUUAGCGAAAUCUGCAUUUGCGGCAGGGGGAGUGUCGGGAGGAGUGCUCACAGCAGUAGGAUUACUUGGGAUACCUUUCACAUUCGGACUUUCCACAGGAUUGACUAUUUUGGGGGUUUCAUCCGGAAUUGGUGGGUUUGGUACCGAGCUGUACAAUAGCGCGCUCAACAAAACAACAAUUCUAAAGGCUUAAAAACAAAUAGACACACUCAGAGAAGAAGAAACACACACACUGGAUCUAAUUGGGGAGAUGAGAAGUACCAAACCACGAGAAUUUAAAGAGUUUCUGAGGAAUGAUUUGAAACAGUUAAUGGACCCAAGAUACCACGAAGUACUUUCUGACGUGCUGACCAUAGAAGAUGGCGAUAGCAAGGUGAAGGAACAAGGUUAUGCAUAUAAUGUAAAAGCCGCCAUUGGGAAGAUGCUAAAGAAAGAUAACUUAUAUGGGAAAGCAACACUCGCAUGUGGUAGAAUGUGUCUUUCUGCUAUCGAUGUUGCGUCCGAUGGAGCAAAGCUGUCAAGUUUGCUUUCCUUUGUCUCCGUCCCUUUCGAUUUACACACACUCAUCUCAAACAGUUGGAAAUCAAUGAAAAAGAAGCUGUGAAACUGCGAACAAUUGCAAAAAUACUGCCCUCGAUUGCAACGUCACGAUGUCAAUCUGAGGCUCAGAAACUACGUAAGGAGAAAGAACAGAUGAAAGAGGAAAUGAAGAAGAACGCUAAUGCAUGGGAGAAGAUGAAAAGCAAGAUCGAAGAGGAUGUCACCAUGGAAAUGGAAUCCUUGUCUGCUGAAUAUGACUACAGGACACACGUCAUCAAGAAAGCAAAAAUAUACAAUCUAAUAUGUCAGAUGGUGCUUGUUCUCAUCACUGUUUGCCUGUCUGUGUUUGCUUCCUGGUUUGAGUCGGGUUGGGUUGGCUGGCUGCUUUAUCUAGUUGUAUGUUUGUUGGCACUAUAUGAUAUAUAUCUGUUCAUACUGUAUCCAGUAGAGCACGUCCACAAAACCUGGAUAGAGAAACGAGUCCAAACAGGAAUGGAUAAGCACACAUAUGCCAUGGAGGCUCUCUUUAAGGUCCCUCCACUGAUUCCAAAUACUAAUGUCACAACCCUACCUAGCAACUCUCUACGGAUAGAAUAUUCGAAUCAAAUUUUGAAACAAUCAAUUAAGGAUUUUUUCAUCAUUCCUAUGAAGCUCUGUCUGAACUUGUACAUACUCGUUGGGCUGUCUGGGUCACUACCUGAGGCUGCUGUGCCAUUAAACCAGCACCUCCUGGAAGGUUCUUCAAACACCUCUCUGAUGUCAACGGUCUUGAGUAGCCUAAUGCUUCCAUGGGGUAGUGAACCCACUGGUACAACAGUAGGGUUGAGGAUGGAUCUUUACAUAUUAUAUUUGGCUAUCAUUUGCUAUCUUCUUGUAGCAUAUGUCCAGGAUAUACAAGGCUGCCAACAAUCUGAGGUAUCAAGAAACAUUUUAGGCAUGGCUGAACAUUUCAAGUUUAAUCUGAAGGAAAUGGAUCGUAUUAUGCAGCGCAGAGUCAUACAGUCAGAAAAGAAGCAUGGUGACAGAACUGUAUCACAGACAUAAUCUGCCUACACAUGAUACUUUCAUCUUUAAAAAAAAUACUCGUUAUUGUACACAUAGAGUUAUAGGAUAGGAAUAUCUUAAUGAAUAAAAGAAUAAGGUAGUUUCAGAAACAGUUAUCAUAACACCCGUCAAACAUCCACAAUUGCAAAAUAUGUCAAAUUAAGGUUAUUCCUGGUGAAAAGAAUGCAAAUACUUUUGAGGUUCCAUGAAUACAUAUGCGACCAACUGAUCAAGGAUCUGAUGUUCGCAACGCUACGCAGCCUAAACACGUUCGUCAAAUGAUGUGAUAUUGUUUUUAAUGUUUUCAAUGUAGAGCUAAGUUACCUGUAUAUUUAACCGAGUAAACUGAUUUUGGAACCGAAUGCACAUCGGUCUUACAUAUGGAAACAUACACGCAAAAACAUUGCUUGAUGAUCUAAUUAAAUGCCAAGGAAACACUUGCAAUAUAUUUGUUGUGAUUUGAUACUUCUGACAGAAUCAAAUUUUUUUAAUAGGCUGUGAAUUGGAAGCUAAUGUUGGACUGAAAUCAUAUCCAUACUGCUCACUAAAAUAGUUAUGAUCAGAAAAUGUUUUUAGUGGUUUAGGGUGAGGUGAGGUGAGGUGAGGUGAGGUGAGUUAUCAUGGAAUGAAUUUCACAUUGAGGUGGUUUACUGGAGUAUGAACGCUAAAGUCGUGUAAACGCCGGAGCUUGCGACAUUCUGACAAUUUGCGUAUUGUUAUUUGUUUUUAUGUUUUUCAUUGUAACCAAGAGAAAUGGUCAGAAAUGCCGAUAAAAAGAAAACGUUGUCGUGCGUGAUUUUGCAUCAGUCAUGCCGUCACACAGAACGAAAACUUUGUUGAAUUUACCAAAUGAUUGUAAUGUAUCUAUUUUCUAAUUCCCUAAUUCUUGCUACGAUACACUUCCCAUGCAUAGAGCCAUUGUGUCGCUCAAAAUAGGAGAAAAUGCUACACAGUGUAAUAUCUGAAUUUUGCGUUGUUUGCAUUUCAAACAAGUGCAGUUUUCCGAUCAUAGCCAUCGUUUUCACACCUAAUUUAUUUCGCUUGCGUUUGGUGACAAAGGCCAUUUAUCAUUUCAGUCUAAAACGUAUAAGGAAUUCAGGGAUGUAUGUAUCGCCGCUGAGUUUGAAAAACACGUGAUGUAAUAGGCGUCUCAUACGUGAACAUGAUUUUGUAAACACUGUUUCACAUUGAUCAUUGGUGAUUUGAUUUAAAAAAUAUAUAUACCGGAAAUCACCGAUAUGCUAUUUUUGAAAUUCAAUUCUCCGUGUAAAUAUCCAAUAUUUUGAUUUCAAAACAUGUAUGGACACUAUAACAGGGAAGUGAUCAGACACAUCGAAAGGAGUUGAAUCCGUGUAAAUAUCCAAUAUUUUGAUUUCAAAACAUACACUUAAUAACGCAGUAAUUUAAUGGCGAUUUAGUAAUGUGUAAAAAAUGCUCAGAUUUACGAUGUCCCGAAUUUUCAGAGGUCAUUUUCAUUAAUUUUCUUUUGCUCAAAAUGAGAUUGUCAUAACUUAUACUGAUAAAAAACAAUAAGGAAAUAAAGCGACUUGUUAAAUAUU
Molecule: long non-coding RNA, 3535 nt
Organism: Haliotis rufescens (red abalone)
Lineage: Eukaryota; Metazoa; Mollusca; Gastropoda; Lepetellida; Haliotidae
Exons: 4
Source: RefSeq, a predicted model, not a curated record